Molecule: long non-coding RNA, 5920 nt
Filed under: Taeniopygia guttata (zebra finch)
Lineage: Eukaryota; Metazoa; Chordata; Aves; Passeriformes; Estrildidae
Description: lncRNA (ENSTGUG00000026949.1)
Source: RNAcentral
UUUUUUUUUUUUUUUUCCCUGUGGUUUCCAGAGGCUUGCAGUAAAUGAUUUAUCCACUGUACUCAUCCCCUGUGCUGGCAGAGCUGUAGCAUAGUGCACUGACUGGGAAGCCUAAUUUCAAGGCUGGCCUUCGACUCUUCAAGAUCCUCAGGAGGAGGGUUUGUCAUGAUGGAGGCUGGUACAUCCUUUCUCCUGGAUGAAGUUUGUUGCAAAGCCAAGCUUGAUUAAGAAGCGCUUGGAGAAGAGACAUAGAAAAGCUGCAGUCAUGCUAUCAGUCUGUUUUAAGGCCAGGUGAGUUUUAAAUACUUCUUCCAGUCUUUUUGAAUGUACAUUUGGAAAGGGGAAAAAAAACCUUCAAAUGUUUUAGGCAAAACUAGUUUUUCCUGGGGUAGUCUGUUGUGUAGGUAAGCCUUGCUUCUAGCUUGAGGGAAUCUUGUCUUUGACUAAGUUUUAACUAAGCAGUACAUAGGCUUUUGGGGGGAUUUUUUUUUGUUUUAGAAUUUUAAAUAGUGUGUGAGCAGGUGAGAAAUAUAGCAACCAUCAUUCUUUUAGUAAUUUUUUUACUAAUGUAUUUGUGCUCUAGUGAUAAAAAGUAUAAGUAGUAGAUUAAGAUAUAAGGUCUCUGCUGUUUGGCAGAAUCAUCAUGCUGUUUCUGGAAUCAUCAUCCCUGGAAGUAUUCAAAGGACACUUAGAUGUGGCACUUGAGGACAUGGGUCAGUCGUGAACACAAUGGUGCUGGGUUAACAGUUGGACUCCAUGAUCUUAGAAAUCUUUUCCAGUCUUUGUGGUUUUAUGAUUCCUUAAUUUUUGCCAAGGGUGGAAAUAAAUGCUUAAUACUUAUCUAAGAGAAGCUUCACAGACAACUUAAAUUUUCUCAUGGAAACAGUAGGAAAUGUGGGCAAAUGUAAUUUUUUUUUUAAUCCUGGUAAACCCCAAACAGGUUUUAGAAAUACCUAUGAAAGUAAGUGAUGAUAGCAGAAGAUUUAAAAAAAAAAAAACCACAACCACCCACCAAACCAGUGCAUCCUAAAGCAUGACAAAACUAUAUUUCUUUAGUGCAGAAGGCAGGAGAAGUCACCUGAGACAGGUUUUCAUGUGGCACCUGAUGUAAUACUGUGCUGGUUUAUUAUUCUCUCAGAACAUUACAAAAGGUUAAAGGCAGCAAAAUCAUUCUCUGAGACAGACCUCAGCCCUUUUGUGCCUGUUGCAUGGUUAUGUGCAAACAGCUUACAUGCCAGCAGUGUGGAAGUACAAAGCAGCCAUAAGAUUUAUUUUACUUGACUCCUCUGCUUCUGUCUGGAAAGAAGAAGAGGGAGGUGCAAGUUAUGGUUGCUAGACUAUCCUUUCUGUCAGCUGUUUUCAGACAAUAUGGAUGCAUUCAUGUGUGUAACCAACUUGAGCAGAAUAACGCAGCUGCAGACGGUUAUAUUCUGCCUUAGAGCAGAAAUCCAAGGCUCCACAGUUAGAAUUAGUUUCUGGAUUCUGUUUUCGGAUCCCACCUCCACCUCUUCUUGGGCUGUCAUCUUCCUUGCGAUGAGAAGGCUGAUUACUGUAUCUUAGCAGUUCUAGGCUCUGGUAAAAUGAGUCAAGCUGCUGUUACAAUUCCCAUGAAGCUGUCCAUCAGUGCUGGAUGUAGAGAGCAGAGCCAUUAGAAUUGGCUGGGCAGGUGGUGGAGAAUAGUUGAACACCUGCGGGUAAUAAAACCUGCAUCAGAGCUGCUUCAAGGCAAACAGUAUUUCCUUUUCCAGCAGCCUGACUGAAGAAUCUACAUUUUACAGACAGUAGAGCACACAAAGUAAUGUUUUCAAUUCUUAAUCAAAUACAGUUUUUGUUCAAGAAUAUGCUUUUGUGGGGGAGUUUCAGCCAGAACCUUAGAACACGGAAAUACUACAAGCCAUUUGUCUUACCACCCUGUUUCAUUUGCUUACAAACUUUAGAUGAAUGUAGAAACAAAAUAAUGCUUUAGGAGCCAUGAAUAUAGAAACAAAAUAACACUGUAGGAGGAGCCAUGCCCUUGUAAUAGCUAUCUGGUAAAGAAAUUACAGGGAUGGUCUUCAUAUCAGAUCUCACUCACAUUAGGCUCUAUUCAUAUCAUGUCAGAGAUGAAAAAAGCAGGAAUUAAAUUUAAGUGCCAAUAAUUAGAUGAGAGGAGUCUUGUAGCUAAGCACCUGCAGGAUAAGUAUUUAGACAUGCUUGAUUAGUGGGGAAAAAAAUAUUAAAAGUCCAUUAGCAAAGGAAUAUCUGUCACUGCAUUUUCUCUUAAGAACUGAAAGCUUAAUGCAAUUAAACCCAUUUAAUAUGUUUUUUUUCAGGUACUGUUUAAAUUUCAUGUCCUCUGCUAAUUAUUUUCACAUGUUAUAUUGCUUUACCAAGGUGAGGGAAUGGUUCAAAAUCAGUGUAUCCCUGUUGAGACCAAGCUAGGGUUACAAAAGUAAUUCACGGAAUGAAGUCGUGCAAUGGAUUCAGUUUGGCUGGGUGAAAAAAACAUCCCAUAUUUGCAUUGCUAUAGUCCUUCAUCAUUCACAUUUGAUUUAUCUGGCAUUUGAUACAAGAUACAAGCAUGACAAUUUGCCUCAAGCUGCUACAAUGUUUACAGAAGAGAGAUCAUCCAAGAUAGUAAGUGCAAUUACUUCUCCAAGAGUUGAAUUUGUGGUUCAGAAUACAAGAAAGGCUUACAGGUUGAACAUUUAUUUCGGGUUUGUAAGAUGAAACCUUAUGCUUUGUAUGUUUAGCACCCUAGACUAAAGCAUGAAAUACACAGCUUUUAGUUAUACUACUUCUUACAAAUCCCUUCUCCUAGUGAACUGUCUACAAUCACAGUGUGUUCAUUGACAGCUGUUUUCAUUUUGUAAUUACAUUUGUGUUAUGACCCAUCCUUGAAGGUGAGGUAACUGAGGUUCUUGUUAAUAAUCCAACCCUUGGGGGUUGGAUUACAGUAAAAUGACACUAAAUGACCAGUGUUUAUAAAUAUAAAUAAAUAAAUAAACAUGCCAGGUUUCUUUCAGAACAAUUUGGUUGCAAAGGAUAGGAGGUAUAUAGGUUUGAUUAUUAUCUGUAGAAAUAUAACAAUACAGAUGCAUAAAAAUAACAUGUAAGAAAAUGUAUAAAGAAAAGAGAGAAAGGAUAGGUGAAAGGCCUCAGAAAUUAGUUUGAGGGCACUUUGGGGGUAUCUGUGGUUUAUGACACCUUCUAAGACAUGGCAGCAUAUUUUAUGCCCUGUCUUGAGGGAUGAACACCUUCAGGCCUAUGUGUGAAUGUCCUAUACCUCCCCAGCUAUUCCACUUCCAAAGGGUCUUUUUAUUGGCCUUGUCCCUUAUCUGUCUCAAACCCCAGCUGUAGCCCCCUCUGCACCUGGGCUGUGAGAUGCACAUCCAGCAAGAGCACCCAAGUGGCUGAUUGUUUGAGUCAUUGUCCAUUAACGUUCCAGUCUAACAGCUUGACAAAUUCCUUCCAGACUAGCUGUUCAGCUACUGAAGGGUUUUGGCGCAGAGGGGAGAGAAACAAUUAAAAGGGUCUAAGAUUUGGCAUUGUAAGGGUCAAACCCACCAGAUGCUCCAGCAAGUGGGAUUUUAGGAUGAACAUAUUUUGCUGUAACAAGUCUUUGUCUUUGCCUCUUUGUCUCUUGAUUACUUUCCACAGGAGCUAAGAAAAUGUUAUGUUGAAUUUCCAGACUUCUGGAAACCUGUUCUGAGAAGGUGAGUGCAGAUUUGCAUGACUGGAAUGGUAUCUUUUGCUCCUCUCUUUGGAGGGCACAUUCUUUUUCUUAUUAUUAAUGUGACUACUCAGUGAAACUUUCUCUAUAUUCUUACUGGUUAAAUCUGCUGGUCAUGGGUAUGGCUCUAAUUUAAGUUCUUUUGCCAGCAUCCAAGAAGACUCUGUAUGUGUGGAUUCCUUUCUCGAUUAAAUAGUGUUAUUUUAAAAACAAACAUUAAACUUUUAUGAAAUUAUACUGGUUUCUGAGUAUUGUUUAUUUAAAAAUUAUUCUCUAAAGAGGAUUUUAAAAGUGCAGGCUUCUACAAGAUAUUGAUAGUGGCAAGGGAGAGCACUGGAUUCUGAAGCUUCUUGAUUCAUAGGUUUUCUGUAUCUCUUGGAAAAGCUGCUUAAAGUAGAGAAAAAGGCUUUUUAAAGCUCCUGUCUCUAUACUUAAUUUGGAAUCUUGCAGCUAUUUUUUAACUCAGCUACACUGUUAAAUUAUUCAUGCAAACUUGUCAUGUUUUCACAGAAGUGCCUUGUUAACUCUUGUCACAAGUAUUUCAUCUCUAAGGAAGUGGUGUUGUGUUUCACCAACAAAAAUAUCCUGACAGCAGCUGCCAGGCAUGUAAAAGAAUAAAGACAGUCCAUGCUUUUUUUUUUUUUGUCCCCCAAAAGAUUUAUUAUAACUGUUGAUUAUUCUCAAAAAUAAUGUGUGAGAGAUGGCUUUACAGUGUGUAGAUAGACUCAUCCUGCUUUAUAUAUGACUAAAACCCCACAAAUUAGCUUGUUGCUGCUACUCAGGGAAGAACAGUUUAGAAAUUCUUAUUUUCGCCACACAAGCUUCACACAGUCAGUCAUACCCAUCAGGAUAAGCCUAAGUAUUGAAUUGUCAGCUCUUAGCUUGUUGUGUUAUAGAUCCACUUUCUCCUUCCUUCAUUGCUGAUGCAGAGGCUGACUGGUAAAGUAAUUACCAUAGCACUGACAUGCUUUGGCCAACGGAGGCGUAAUCCAGGGGUGGAUUCAAACAGCCUGCCUAGAAAGGAUGGCCUAUACUUUAAUCAUAAUUGAAGCAUCACAGUAGCAGAGAUCCAGCUGCUCCGGAAAAUACUGAGGAACGUGGUCUGUACAGGUAGUGAAAAAAUUAUUUGCCACACAAAGGCUGCAUUUUAACCAUGUUCUUUAGCAGAAAUUACCUCCUGCCUGCAGAAGAAGUGUUGGUUGGAGGUGAUAAACCUAAUAGCCCAAGUGAAGCUGCCUUCAUCUUUGUCUCGCCAGGCCCAGGCAGCAUGAAGGCUGCGUGUGUACUCCCAGUAAGGACAAAAACACGCUGAUGUGUGUGCACAUGGCCAGCCACACAGACAAAUACAUAUAAAACUAUAAAACAGCACUUCUGCAAAUGGAAACAGGACCAAUGCCAUAAUCCUCUUCCCCUCUCUGGAAUGAAGGUGUGCAGUGGAACAUACAGAAAAGACAUACAGCAUGGGCCUUUUAGUAACAGGACAGAUGCUCGUUUAUCCAGUAGCCAGCCCUGGAUCCUUGUUCCGUCCAGCUGCAGAUACCUGAUCAUGGCAAGACCUCAAGGCUCACUGCCCCACUUAGUUUGCUGGCACCCACAGACUGCACAUCCACUCAAUAACCAGCCUUGGGCAGUUCCCCUGUCAGCUGGCCCUGGUACCCUCUGGUCUUUGAUCCUCUCAGGCAGAUCCUCUGGUCAGAUCCUCUGAUCCUCUCAUGGUACAGCAGUAAGGACUGAAGAAAGUCCAGAGAGCUGAAAGUAGUCAGAAGCUGGGUGAGUAGUAGGGGAAGUGCCAUUUGUCAUUGUCCUGCUCUUGUUCUUUCAUGGUAUCCAGCAUGGCUAACCAGAGCAUGCUCUGAGCCAGAACUGACAUUCCUUGAUACCUGGCAAAUCCAGCUGUAUGUCUAGCAGACAGUGGGCUUUUAGCUGCAGCACAGUGGCUGGAUUCUGUUGCAUCCAGACACUGAAGAAACUGCAGCAUCCUGCAGGAAUCAGUAAAAAAAUCGGUUUUGAUACAAAAGUGCUUAGCAGCAUGUUACCACUCUGCAUCUGGUAACACUCAUGUGUGCUUCAUGCUGUUCUGCAAGUACAGAUUUCAUAUUUCAUGUCUCUGUCAUGGGAUUUUUGACAGCCACAGAGCCAACCUGAGGUGGGGUGGUGUAAACCCUGUGAAAAUAAUUUGUCUGUAAUGAAAUAAACCCUGCCUUAAAG